This 465-nucleotide ribosomal RNA is filed under the name Vreelandella stevensii. RNAcentral's name for it is "partial 16S ribosomal RNA". It matches the Rfam family "Bacterial small subunit ribosomal RNA", at positions 338 to 795 of the family's 1533-position model. The record is from RNAcentral. Lineage: Bacteria; Pseudomonadati; Pseudomonadota; Gammaproteobacteria; Oceanospirillales; Halomonadaceae.
CCUACGGGCGGCAGCAGUGGGGAAUAUUGGACAAUGGGCGAAAGCCUGAUCCAGCCAUGCCGCGUGUGUGAAGAAGGCCUUCGGGUUGUAAAGCACUUUCAGUGGGGAAGAAAGCCUUGGGGCUAAUACCCUCGAGGAAGGACAUCACCCACAGAAGAAGCACCGGCUAACUCCGUGCCAGCAGCCGCGGUAAUACGGAGGGUGCGAGCGUUAAUCGGAAUUACUGGGCGUAAAGCGCGCGUAGGCGGUCUGAUAAGCCGGUUGUGAAAGCCCCGGGCUCAACCUGGGAACGGCAUCCGGAACUGUCAGGCUAGAGUGCAGGAGAGGAAGGUAGAAUUCCCGGUGUAGCGGUGAAAUGCGUAGAGAUCGGGAGGAAUACCAGUGGCGAAGGCGGCCUUCUGAACUGACACUGACGCUGAGGUGCGAAAGCGUGGGUAGCAAACAGGAUUAGAUACCCUAGUAGUC